AGCCGUGCGGUGAGCACAAAGCGAACUAUUCUUUCGCCUUUUACUAAAGAAUACCGUGUGCUCGCCGCAAUUAGCGGCAUACACCUAUUUUUGGAGGUGGUUUUCCCAAUAGGGAUU
This 117-nucleotide small nuclear RNA is filed under the name Olea europaea subsp. europaea. RNAcentral describes it as "U5 spliceosomal RNA". It matches the Rfam family "U5 spliceosomal RNA". Rfam says of the family: U5 RNA is a component of both types of known spliceosome. The record is from Rfam by way of RNAcentral. Lineage: Eukaryota; Viridiplantae; Streptophyta; Magnoliopsida; Lamiales; Oleaceae.